RNAcentral lists this ribosomal RNA (479 nucleotides) under uncultured anaerobic ammonium-oxidizing bacterium. RNAcentral's name for it is "bacterial SSU rRNA". It matches the Rfam family "Bacterial small subunit ribosomal RNA", at positions 364 to 833 of the family's 1533-position model. The record is from RNAcentral.
UUUCGCAAUGCCCGAAAGGGUGACGAAGCGACGCCGCGUGAGUGAGGAAGGCCUUCGGGUUGUAAAGCUCUGUCAGGAGUUAAGAAAUAUAGGUGUGUUAAUACCACAUUUAUUUGACGAAGGCUCCAAAGGAAGCCACGGCUAACUCUGUGCCAGCAGCCGCGGUAAUACAGAGGUGGCAAGCGUUGUUCGGAAUUAUUGGGCGUAAAGAGCACGUAGGUGGGUUUGUAAGUCAGAUGUGAAAGCCUUCUGUUCAACGGAAGAAUUGCAUCUGAAACUGCGAGUCUUGAGUGUAGGAGGGGAGAAUGGAACUUCUGGUGGAGCGGUGAAAUGCGUAGAUAUCAGAAGGAACGCCGGCGGCGAAAGCGAUUCUCUGGCCUAUUACUGACACUCGGUGUGCGAAAGCUAGGGGAGCAAACGGGAUUAGAUACCCCGGUAGUCCUAGCUGUAAACGAUGGGCACUAAGUAGAGGGGUUUUA